Molecule: ribosomal RNA, 429 nt
Filed under: Bacillota bacterium
Lineage: Bacteria; Bacillati; Bacillota
Description: Firmicutes bacterium partial 16S ribosomal RNA
Rfam family: Bacterial small subunit ribosomal RNA
Source: RNAcentral
UGGGGAAUUUUGGACAAUGGGGGCAACCCUGAUCCAGCAAUGCCGCGUGUGUGAAGAAGGCCUUCGGGUUGUAAAGCACUUUUGUCCGGAAAGAAAACUUCGGGGCUAAUACCCCUGGAGGAUGACGGUACCGGAAGAAUAAGCACCGGCUAACUACGUGCCAGCAGCCGCGGUAAUACGUAGGGUGCGAGCGUUAAUCGGAAUUACUGGGCGUAAAGCGUGCGCAGGCGGUGCUGUAAGACCGAUGUGAAAUCCCCGGGCUUAACCUGGGAACUGCAUUGGUGACUGCAGCGCUGGAGUAUGGCAGAGGGGGGUGGAAUUCCACGUGUAGCAGUGAAAUGCGUAGAGAUGUGGAGGAACACCGAUGGCGAAGGCAGCCCCCUGGGCCAAUACUGACGCUCAUGUACGAAAGCGUGGGGAGCAAACAGG